GACGAACGCUGGCGGCGUGCUUAACACAUGCAAGUCGAACGGAAAGGCCCUUCUUUUGUGGGUUGCUCGAGUGGCGAACGGGUGAGUAACACGUGAGUAACCUGCCCUUGACUUUUGGAUAACUUCAGGAAACUGGGGCUAAUACCGGAUAGGAUCUCCUGCUUCAUGGUGGUGGUUGGAAAGUUUCGGCGGUUGGGGAUGGACUCGCGGCUUAUCAGCUUGUUGGUGGGGUAGUGGCUUACCAAGGCUUUGACGGGUAGCCGGCCUGAGAGGGUGACCGGCAACAUUGGGACUGAGAUACGGCCCAGAAGCCUACGGGAGGGAGCAGUGGGGAAUAUUGCACAAUGGGCGGGAGCCUGAUGCAGCAAAGCCGCGUGCGGGAUGAAGGCCUUCGGGUUGUAAACCGCUUUCGCCUGUGACGAAGCGUGAGUGACGGUAAUGGGUAAAGAAGCACCGGCUAACUACGUG
Molecule: ribosomal RNA, 468 nt
Filed under: uncultured bacterium
Lineage: Bacteria
Description: partial 16S ribosomal RNA
Rfam family: Bacterial small subunit ribosomal RNA
Source: RNAcentral